UGAAUUUGGAUGUGAAUUCAAGCAGUGCGGUGGUCAGCAAAUGCCUCUCACACAUGGAAUAUAAAAUCAUGGGCUGUGACCAUGGACUAUGAUCCCGCAGAGCCUCUCAACCUCUUAUUUUCAUGUCUUGACUCAUCUGUCUUGAAAAGAGAUGCUGGGUGUGAUUUUGGCUUGCACUUCUCUGACCUCUGACAACAUGAGCUCCUUAAUGUCCACAGACAGGAGCCAAAUUCACAGGAAUAUGCAUCUAUCUGGCUCAACAUAGGUC
Molecule: long non-coding RNA, 268 nt
Filed under: Callithrix jacchus (white-tufted-ear marmoset)
Lineage: Eukaryota; Metazoa; Chordata; Mammalia; Primates; Cebidae
Description: lncRNA (ENSCJAG00000073812.1)
Source: RNAcentral